Schistosoma mattheei is the source of this 78-nucleotide non-coding RNA. The record is from Rfam. NCBI's taxonomy places the organism in Eukaryota, Metazoa, Platyhelminthes, Trematoda, Strigeidida, Schistosomatidae.
AGCUUUCUGAAUCCAUGCAGAGAUUUCGUCAGACACCGACCCAAUAGGAUUGAUCAGACUUCCAAGAUUAGUUAAGUU